GAAUCUGCCUUCAGGUCGGGGACAACCACUGGAAACGGUGGCUAAUACCCGAUGUGCGCAACGUGAAAGAUUUAUCGCCUGAAGAGGAGCUCGCGUCUGAUUAGCUAGUUGGUGGGGUAAAAGCUCACCAAGGCGACGAUCAGUAGCUGGUCUGAGAGGAUGAUCAGCCACACUGGGACUGAGACACGGCCCAGACUCCUACGGGAGGCAGCAGUGGGGAAUUUUCCGCAAUGGGCGAAAGCCUGACGGAGCAAGACCGCGUGAGGGAGGAAGGCUCUUGGGUUGUAAACCUCUUUUCUCAGGGAAGAACUUCAUGACGGUACCUGAGGAAUCAGCCUCGGCUAACUCCGUGCCAGCAGCCGCGGUAAUACGGAGGAGGCAAGCGUUAUCCGGAAUUAUUGGGCGUAAAGCGUCCGCAGGUGGCACUUCAAGUCUGUCGUCAAAGACUGGGGCUUAACCCUGGAAAGGCGGUGGAAACUGAAGCGCUAGAGUGUGGUAGGGGUAGAGGGAAUUCCCGGUGUAGCGGUGAAAUGCGUAGAGAUCGGGAAGAACAUCGGUGGCGAAAGCGCUCUACUGGACCACAACUGACACUCAGGGACGAAAGCUAGGGGAGCG
Molecule: ribosomal RNA, 615 nt
Filed under: uncultured bacterium
Lineage: Bacteria
Description: bacterial SSU rRNA
Rfam family: Bacterial small subunit ribosomal RNA
Source: RNAcentral